GUGGCCUGCUGACUGCAUCUGCCAGAUGACUACCAAUGUUUUUAUAGAUUGAGAGGAACUACGCUCAAGGAGCCUCAUGCAUACCUGGACCUGAUUUAAAUGAUGAGAUGCUGGACUUCAAGCAGAUGCUGUAAUGAUAUGAGGUUCUCAGGGACCUUGGGAAAUAGUAAAUGUAUUUUGUGUGUGAGAGGGACACAAAUCAUUGGAGGCCAAAAGGGUGAACUGAGGACAGAUGCUAGGGUAGCUCCCACAAUCCCCACCUCCUGGUUUCACCCUUGUGGGAUCUCGCCAUGAGUGUGGAUGGAACCUGUGAUUUGCUUCUAACUAGUAGAAUUUGGCAAAAAAUGAUGAGAUAUAUGUGAUUAUGUUUACAUGAUUAUAUUAUAUAAGAUUCUGAGUACAUUGAGCUGCAUAGAGAGAGCACGGGGGCAAGUGAGAGCCAGGUGGGUACUGGAAAGCUCUGUGCCUCACUGAGGAAAAAUAACUAAACAUGGGCAAAAGAGAUCCAUGGAACCUGAGAGGCAAGGUGUUAUUAUAUGCAUUCUUUGGCAAACUUGUCAGGAGGCGCAUAAGAAGAAGCACCCAGAUGGUUCAGUCAACUUCUCAGUUUUCUAGGAAGUGCUCAGAGAGGUGCAAGACCAUGUCUGCUAAAGAGAAAGGGAAAUUUGAAGACAUGGCAAAGGCGAACAAGGCUCGUUAUGAAAGACAGAUGAAAACCUAUAUCCCUCCUAAAGAUCCCCUUUAGGACGAAAAAGUAGUUCAAGGAUCCCAAUGCACCCAAGAGGCAUUCUUUGGCUGUUUUCUUGUUCUGUUCUGAGUAUUGCCCGAAAAUCAAAGGAGAACAUCCUGGCCUAUCCAUUGGUGAGUUGUAAAGAAAUUGGAAGAGAUGUGGAAGGGCACUGCCUCAGAUGAUAAGCAGCCUUAUGAAAAGAAGGCUGUGAAGCUGAAGGAAAAAUAUGAAAAGGAUAUUGCCUCAUACUGAGCUAAAGGAAAGCCUGAUGCAGCAAAAAAGGGAGUUGUCACGGCUAAAAAAAGCAAAAAAAGGAAGAAGAGGAAGAUGAAGAUGAUGAUGAUGAUGAUAAUGAGAGAUUCUCUCUCCCUUGCUGUCUUUGAAAAAGCAAGUUGCCAUGUGAAGAGGGCCAUAUAGCAUAGGAGCUGAAGGCAGCCUCCAACUGACGGCAAGAAAAUGAGGUCCUCAGUCUGACAACCUGCAAGAAACUGAAUGUUCUAAAAGCCACAUGAGCUUGGGAGCAGAUCUGACCCCAGCCAAAUCUCUGAAGUCCGCAGGCAGGAAAUGAAGAUCAGAAAAAGGCUAUUGUCUCAUGAAUAUGAGCCAGACUCCACAGAAGCUGGAGUCCUUCAUUAUGGAGCUAAACACAUACACCUGGCUUAGGAGUCAGAAAAACUGAAAGAGAAUUCAGGGAAGUAGAGAAAUUGCAAGCCCAGAUGCUGCUUCAUACCAAAGAAGCAAGUCAGCAGGUCAGCAACAAUGUGUAUCAGUUCCAAAAUGACUUACACAGGUACCAAGACAAGACAUUAUAUACACUUAUAUAGUCAAAUACUUUAAAACUGUUAACAAACUUGCUACAAUUGUCUCAUUUGUCUUUUAACCUUAAUAUCACAGAUCAAGUUUGUAAUCUCAAAAGUUCACCCUGGCUGCUGUGUGGAGUAUUCUCUUAUCUGCUCAUAUUACACUGUGCUUAUUCAUUCAUCAGUUAAUGGAAAUUUGGGUUGUUUCCUGAUUUUGACUGUAAUGAAUAAUGUUGCUGUAAACAUUCAUGUACAGUUUUGUGUGGACAUGCUUUUCUUUCUCUUGGGUAGGUUCCUAUGAGUGGAAUCACUAGAUUGUAUGGUAAAUGUAUGUUUAACUUUUAAAGAAACUGUCAAACUGUUUUCUAACAUGAACGGGCCAUUUUACGUUCUUAUCAACAAUAUAUGAUGGUUUCAAUUUUCCCAC
This 1957-nucleotide long non-coding RNA is filed under the name Homo sapiens (human). Its description in RNAcentral is "non-protein coding ZBED3-AS1:58". The record is from RNAcentral. Lineage: Eukaryota; Metazoa; Chordata; Mammalia; Primates; Hominidae.